This 513-nucleotide ribosomal RNA is filed under the name uncultured bacterium. RNAcentral's name for it is "partial 16S ribosomal RNA". It matches the Rfam family "Bacterial small subunit ribosomal RNA", at positions 28 to 523 of the family's 1533-position model. The record is from RNAcentral.
GACGAACGCUGGCGGCAUGCCUAAUACAUGCAAGUCGAGCGAACAGAUGAAGUGCUUGCGCUUCUGACGUUAGCGGCGAACGGGUGAGUAACACGUAAGGAAUCUACCUAUAAGCGGGGGAUAACAUUCGGAAACGGGUGCUAAUACCGCAUAAUAUCUUCUUCCGCAUGGAAGAAGAUUGAAAGACGGCUCUGCUGUCCCUUAUAGAUGACCUUGCGGUGCAUUAGUUAGUUGGUGGGGUAAUGGCCUACCAAGAUGAUGAUGCAUAGCCGACCUGAGAGGGUGAUCGGCCACAUUGGGACUGAGACACGGCCCAAACUCCUACGGGAGGCAGCAGUAGGGAAUCUUCCGCAAUGGGCGAAAGCCUGACGGAGCAAUGCCGCGUGAGUGAAGAAGGCCUUCGGGUCGUAAAACUCUGUUAUAAGAGAAGAACAAAUUGUAGAGUAACUGCUACAGUCUUGACGGUAUCUUAUCAGAAAGCCACGGCUAACUACGUGCCAGCAGCCGCAGUAA